CAUCUUCAGUAGCUUCUUUUUGGUGAACGGGACGGCAAGAAGGUUUGCCGUGCAACAGCCAGACAGCACCGGAAACACAAGAUCCGGCGUAGGAAAGUCUUGGCAGCUUUAAGAGGGCAGACGAUAGUGACUCCUAGGGCAACCAUUCAUCCAACUAAUUCCUUCCGAUCCGGUCCAAGGAGAAAUCUGGCGCCGAAACCCUUCAUGAGUUGUUCGAAAGGAACUGUCGCCAACAAACAUCGUUCAAUGUACCGGUUCAAAACUUAAAUCAUAGGGAAAAUCGAUAAUGUGAAUGUGAUAAUGUAAUCUAAAUAAAUAAAAUGUUGUAAACCAUAAUUGAUUUCUUUUUUUUCCAAUUGGAAGAAAAUUAAUAUGUAGUACUAGAAUUAUUAAAACAAAAAGUAGAAUUGAAGAACAAAUGCUUUUAAAUUGAAACCCAAAUACCGUUGGAACAAACGAAAAGUUCAUAAAAUUAAACGAAAAGACUUUUGAAUCAAAAGCAUUUUGUUUUUCGAAUCAAAGAAAAAGUUUUGAUUCAAAGGAAAGCAUUUCUUCGAAACAAAAGAAAAUGUUUUUGAAUCGAAGGAAUUUUUAU
Long non-coding RNA from Uranotaenia lowii, 595 nucleotides. RefSeq lists it as uncharacterized. The record is from RefSeq and is a predicted model, not a curated record. The transcript has 3 exons. NCBI's taxonomy places the organism in Eukaryota, Metazoa, Arthropoda, Insecta, Diptera, Culicidae.